CUCCCAACUGCUCUGAACUCCAGUUCCAGGUGAGACUCUGGGGACCCAGACUCAUACGGGGAGAAACUGGACUGUCUGGCAGCAGGCGAAA
Non-coding RNA from Eptesicus fuscus (big brown bat), 91 nucleotides. RefSeq annotates it as microRNA mir-9230a. Lineage: Eukaryota; Metazoa; Chordata; Mammalia; Chiroptera; Vespertilionidae. The record is from RefSeq and is marked provisional.